UUGCUCAUGAAACUGCAGUGCUUGUGUCUGAUGACUUGCCAUACGAUUUCAUCGCUCUGCAUCUCUAGUCACUGCAAUUGCUUUUCAAUUGAGAUUUAUAGAUACAGGUGUGUGUAUGUAUAGGUUUGUGUCAGAGUUUGGCGGAGAUGAAAAGGGGGGUAACGAGGGGUUUUAAUUAGGGUUUAUGCUGAGCCGUUGCUGCUCAGUAUUUCCAUUGAUUUUAUUAGAGAUUGUAUAAUAGUUAUNUAAUCUACAGAUACAUAUAAACAUACUCAAGCUAGCAACCGCCAAUAUAACGACAUUUCUAACUAAACUAACAAAAACUAACAACAAAUGCAAAGAAAUGCAAACCAAACCUAAUAAAAUCACAAAUAACUACCUUCAUGAUCUCGAAUAGUAGCAUAUCGACUAUUAGCAAGCGGACACGAGCUCCGAUUACAAGUCCCGGUAACAUUAUACGGAUUUCGACAGAAAAUCCCAGUUUCAAUCCUGUAAAAACAAACACAAACACAAACAUAAACAAUCAACACAAACGCCUCUAAAGCAAAACAAAGCAGACUCAAUCAAAAAUCGAUCAAAUUAAUUCAAAAAUCACAGAAAUUAGGGUUCAUACUUGCUCAUGAAACUGCAGUGCUUGUGUCUGAUGACUUGCCAUACGAUUUCAUCGCUCUGCAUCUCUAGUCACUGCAAUUGCUUUUCAAUUGAGAUUUAUAGAUACAGGUGUGUGUAUGUAUAGGUUUGUGUCAGAGUUUGGCGGAGAUGAAAAGGGGGGUAACGAGGGGUUUUAAUUAGGGUUUAUGCUGAGCCGUUGCUGCUCAGUAUUUCCAUUGAUUUUAUUAGAGAUUGUAUAAUAGU
RNAcentral lists this long non-coding RNA (855 nucleotides) under Daucus carota (carrot). Its description in RNAcentral is "long non-coding RNA (DCAR_LNC004898)". Lineage: Eukaryota; Viridiplantae; Streptophyta; Magnoliopsida; Apiales; Apiaceae. The record is from RNAcentral.